GGAAUGAUGGAAAUUUAAACCCUUUUUAAAGUAUCAAUUGGAGGGCAAGUCUGGUGCCAGCAGCCGCGGUAAUUCCAGCUCCAAUAGCGUAUAUUAAAAUUGUUGCAGUUAAAAAGCUCGUAGUUGAAGUUCUGCUAAAAGUAACCGGUCUGCUUUUAAUAAAGGUGGUAUCUUGGUGUGUAUUUAGCAAUGAUGUCCUUUGAAGUGUUUUUUACUUUAUUGUAAUAAAGCAUAUUCAGGACUUUUACUUUGAGAAAAUUAGAGUGUUUCUAGCAGGCUAACGCUUUGAAUACUKCAGCAUGGAAUAAUAAGAUAGGAUUUUASUUCUACAUUAUUGGUUUUAAGAGCUAAAUUAAUGAUUGAUAGGGACAGUUGGGGGCAUUUGUAUUUAACUGUCAGAGGUGAAAUUCUUAGAUUUGUUAAAGACAAACUACUGCGAAAGCAUUUGCCAAAGAUGUUUUCAUUAAUCAAGAACGAAAGUUAGGGGAUCGAAGACGAUCAGAUACCGUCGUAGUCCU
Molecule: ribosomal RNA, 518 nt
Filed under: Hepatozoon canis
Lineage: Eukaryota; Apicomplexa; Hepatozoidae
Description: SSU rRNA
Source: RNAcentral